Acanthosepion pharaonis is the source of this 105-nucleotide non-coding RNA. Lineage: Eukaryota; Metazoa; Mollusca; Cephalopoda; Sepiida; Sepiidae. The record is from the annotation of a GenBank genome assembly.
AGUCACAUCACAUUGUAACACCCGUCUCUGUACGAUCACCGAAGUUAAGCAACAUCGAGCCUGAUCAGUACCUAGAUCGGUGAUCGCUUGGGAAUACCAGGGGUU